ACCACGUUGCCUGCUUUGCUCGCCAUGCAGUCUAGCAGGAAUUAAUCAAUGAGAACCUGUGCCGCAUGGAAAAAGAAAAGAAAAAAAAAUAGAAAGAAAGCCAGCAGCGCGGUACCCCGCUAAGGCAUAGGUCCCUGCUCGCCCCGCAUCAGCCGCAGCCCGGACAUGCCCCUGGCGGCCCGCACGGCUGAGGAGUUCGCGGAGAGCCGCGCUCCCUCAUUCCCGGCCGCACCGCCGCCGCCCCCCGAGCACCCGCCGCUCCGCUCCACUCCGCUCGGCUCUGCGGGGCAGCGCCAUGGGCGCCGGCAGCUCCGCCGAGCCGUCCGCCCCGCCGCAGGAGGACGGGGCCGCCGCCGCCGCCGCCCCCCCGGAGCCCGCCAAGGAUGCGGCUGGGAGGCGCGUCGGGGGGACUGCAGCAGGGACCCUCCCUGCACCACCAAGUUUCCCCUGCUGAGCUCCAGCUUCAGCGUCUCUCUUCUCACCCUCCCAGUCCCGCAUCGGGCCCGCCGCAGCCCCCCCGAGCAGAGCCGGGCGGGGAGGGGGCGCGGGGUCGCGGUGGGGGCGGUGGCUGCGGCGCUCCCCGGUGGCACAGCGACGGGGCGAGCGGGGAGGCGGCGGCCAACAACCAACGGGGAGGGGGAGGGAUCGGGGUCCGAGCCUGUGUUAUUUUAAAUAAAGACGUUGAAGAAUUGAAAGAAAUUCUUUUAAAACGUCUGGUGUUUAAAAAUAGAUUAUGAAUGAACCCAUUUAUCCCGCAGGAAUUGGCGUGUUGAGGGGAUUCUGGGACUGAAAGGGAGGUUAUGUGCAUCUACGUGUUUACAUAGCAUCGUGUUGGGGUUAGACGUUAGUUGUUAGGGGAGACAUAAUGCGACGUUAUGCCCGGAGUCCGCUGCGCAGCCUGAUCAGAGCUUGGGUCCUCGGAGCACUCCAAGUUUCUGUGAGCGGGCGUGUGGGUGUGUUGGAGCUUGAGAACGGGUUAUGACUUUGUUUCUUUGACCUUGUGGUUCAGAUUUAACUUUCAAGUUGAAUUUCCCAUAGUUCCUGGCUUCCACUAGACCUCCUUGUGCGUGUUUUGACAGAUUUGAAAACCACAUCGAGAAUGAACUUUAAAUUAACCGAGAUUUAUUUUAUUUUCUUUUUAACCAAAUAAGCAGUAGGGAUCGGUGUUGGUUAACAAAAUAUUUAGCGGUUGUGUUGAGCCGCUUUAGAAUUCAAAUGCUGAAAUGUAGACGGUGGUGAAUUUGGAGGGCGAGCCUCUGGUCUCAGUGAUUGCUUUAAAACAAAGAUAACCUGACUUUGAGAAGGGCUGCAAUGGUCGUAGUCGUGUUUACCCAGUCAUGGGAACUAAGGCAAGCAAAGGGGGAUGCCAUUGAUGCUGUUCUCCAAGGCAGACUAUGACUGGUCCUAAAUACUGUGGUUUAUAUCUUCUGCUCUUUAGGAAGCGUCUUUUCCAACACUUUGGUUUUGUCAUUCAAGUUGAUUAAAGGUGGGGAAAUUCUCUUCGCGUAUCACUGCUGUAAGAAGUUCUGUGACUGUGGUUUUCCUAGAACAGCUGCUUUUGUCUUCUCUUACACUGAAUCAAAGUUUUAAUGAAGUUCAGUCCCGCUUCUUUUUCAUAUCUCCCUUAUUCUGUCCUUACCGCAGUGAGAUUGUUCCAUGCAGAUUCAUGACACAGUUUUUCAUAGCUGUUCCUUUCAGCCCUCUGAACAUGAAAAUCACCAGAUCACGCCGUGCCCCUGGAGAAAUCUAUCAAAGAGCUAAUGUGUUUGCAAAAAAAAAAAAAAAGGCAGUGGUGUCAUUUUAAAGGAUGCUCUCCCUUCUCGUGCUUUUGAAACUGAAGCACUCAUCCCAGCUCUUCUGAAUGAGAAAUUCAGAAAACUGGCCUUUAUGCAAUCCAAUUUGAGCGAGCCUUGGCGAGUGAAUUACAGAUACAUUGUCUGGGCAACUGUUACAAUAGGCGGUAUAAAAUUUCAUGGCAGUUCUGCUUCCUCAUCACUUGAAACGCCUCAGAAUGUUUAAUCAAGUUUCUUUCAUAAUAGACCUAUUUUGCACUAGAUGAAAUCCUGUUUGCUUUUUCUCUGAGAAAGGCCCGAAUUUACAGUCUUUAGGUUGCCUUGUUAUCCCCAUGUGACUCUUUG
Molecule: long non-coding RNA, 2138 nt
Filed under: Gallus gallus (chicken)
Lineage: Eukaryota; Metazoa; Chordata; Aves; Galliformes; Phasianidae
Source: RNAcentral